UCAUGGCAAGCGUUGUCCGGCUCUGAGCUUGAUCCUGGCUCAGGACGAACGCUGGCGGUAUGCCUAAUACAUGCAAGUCGAACGCUGAAGCACUCUGCUUGCAGAGUGUGGAUGAGUGGCGAACGGGUGAGUAACACGUGGGGAACCUGCCCAUAAGAGGGGGAUAACAUCCGGAAACGGGUGCUAAUACCGCAUAGGUGAUCAUAGCGCAUGCUUAGAUCAUUAAAGAUGGCUUCGGCUAUCGCUUAUGGAUGGCCCCGCGGCGUAUUAGCUAGUUGGUGAGGUAAUGGCUCACCAAGGCUGUGAUACGUAGCCGACCUGAGAGGGUGAUCGGCCACACUGGAACUGAGACACGGUCCAGACUCCUACGGGAGGCAGCAGUAGGGAAUCUUCCACAAUGGGCGAAAGCCUGAUGGAGCAAUACCGCGUGAGUGAAGAAGGUCUUCGGAUCGUAAAGCUCUGUUGUUAGAGAAGAACAAGAGGUGUAGUAACUGGCACCUCCUUGACGGUAUCUAACCAGAAAGUCACGGCUAACUACGUGCCAGCAGCCGCUAGUAGAUCGUACGC
RNAcentral lists this ribosomal RNA (567 nucleotides) under Alkalibacterium sp. M17-C11. RNAcentral's name for it is "bacterial SSU rRNA". It matches the Rfam family "Bacterial small subunit ribosomal RNA", at positions 1 to 532 of the family's 1533-position model. The record is from RNAcentral. Lineage: Bacteria; Bacillati; Bacillota; Bacilli; Lactobacillales; Carnobacteriaceae.